CAAAACAAAACGUCGCUCGAUUCACUGCACGGCUCAAACCUAUCUCACCAAAAAAAAAACUAGUCGAUUUCGUCCGGCCAUCUCGUCGAUUUCGUCCGGCUCACCAAUUUGGCCAGAGCAGAUCUCCUAAAUUCGAAACCAUCUCGAAGAAUUUGUUUCCAAUUCGGUCAGAGCAACAAACCUCCAUCGAAAAUUUCGUUUCACCGAUCUGCUAAGGUAAAACCCCCCACUUCAUCCGUGCCCGUAAGAGUUCGAGGUAUUAAUUGUUGAUUGUUGCUAUGGAUUGUAGUUUGAUGGGUAUUGCAUAAAGUUGUGAUUUUUUUUGUGGGAAGCUGUUUGUAUUUCCCUUUUGGGCUUAUAGAGGAUAAAUUGGGUGUCUUACGGUUCUUUUAGUAUAUACUCUUAAUAAUGUUGUAUGGUCAUUUUGAUGCUUGAAUUGUCUACUGUUAAAAUUUGAAGUGGGUUUAUGCAUUUUCUUGCUGUUAGUGUUGAAUUAUGCUUAAAAUUUUAGAUUUUUUGUUUUGGUUUUCAAUAAUUGCUUUUAGGUGUUUGACACAGUUCAAUUCAUGAAAGUUUGGUUGAGUUUUAGGGAUUUUCCUUUAUUUUGAGUUGACAAUAGUUUGAAUUCAAAAAAUUUCCUUUGUUUUGAGUUGACAAUAGUUUCAGUUUUAGGGAUUUUCGUUUGUAAAAUUUAUAAUUUGUUUAGUAUUCCAUACUUAUCUUAAUAUAAUGUAUUCUAGAAAGUAACAAUUAAUGAAUUAUCACAUCUUUUACUGCAUGACUACAACACAGAAAUGAUGUAAUGUAUUAAAUUACUGGUAAUAAAAAGAGAUGGAUAUACCUUUUCAUUUGUUAUGGUUCAUUAAUACUAUGUAAAGAAUGUGUCUAAUUUUACUUAGGAAAUCAUUUUAAAUUGCCAUAUUAAAUUUAUACUAUGAAGACUCCGGUAAAAGUUGAGAUGAAUGUCUCAUGUUUAACCGGGUCAACAAAACAGUGGUAUUAUGUAGGAAAUCCAGCUCAUAAAUCAUAAGGAUAUGGAUGGAAACCCCCAUAAUUCAUACUAGCUUAGAAGGUGUUCCUUCACCAGUAUGAAACAUAUAUGAUCUUUUUCUUUGUUAUGGCUCUUAAUGUGUAAAUCAUGCUCCUUUUGAGCUGUAGUUCUGUGACUUCUAAAUUUGAAUUACUUGUGCUAGAGACACAUGGGUGUGGAUACGAAUCUUCUAUAUCAUUAGACAUGCACCUGAAAAGCAUUAAGGCCAAUUGAACACUCUAUGCUACGUAAAAAAGUAAAACCCCUUUUACAUGAGAAGAUAAAUGAAGAAUAUUGAGCAACAUGGAUACUUAGUUAUGCCCCCCGUGUGCUUCGAGUUUGUAAAUAAAAAUAUUUGGCACGCAAAACAAUAUUAAAACAAAUAUACUUAAUUACUUUAAAUAAACAAAAAAAACUAAUAUACCUCCUUGGAUGUUUGGUUCUCAUAUCUUCUUCUUGACUGAAACUUUUAAUUCCUUGUACUAUCCUGUCCAACUGAGGUCCAUAAGCUAAAUAUUUCAGAUAAAUGUAGUUUCAUUUCAUUCUUUGACUAAUUUCUCUUUUUUUUUGCCUCAGUGCUUAUUAGGACAACAUUUGAUUGGAUGUCGCCUUGGAGCAUCUUAUAUUUUUGAAAAAUUCUAGUCCAAUAGUUGGGAAUGAAAGCUAGUGGCUAACUGAUUUUUC
This 1714-nucleotide long non-coding RNA is filed under the name Panax ginseng (ginseng). RNAcentral's name for it is "long non-coding RNA (PGIN_LNC011299)". Lineage: Eukaryota; Viridiplantae; Streptophyta; Magnoliopsida; Apiales; Araliaceae. The record is from RNAcentral.